Molecule: long non-coding RNA, 989 nt
Organism: Herpailurus yagouaroundi (jaguarundi)
Lineage: Eukaryota; Metazoa; Chordata; Mammalia; Carnivora; Felidae
Exons: 3
Source: RefSeq, a predicted model, not a curated record
AUGGAGUGAGUGGAUCCUGGGUGUUAAGGGGAAAUGCGAGCGACAGAAAUGCAUCCAGAAACUAUGGGUAUUAGAAAUGAGCUCAAGUGAGCUGCUUUAGGAGGCUCGGGAAAGGGGCUUUCCUUUUGUGCUUAGGUCCUUUAUCUUCCCGGGUUGCAUACAGGUCUACCUGAAAACAGCCCCACCCCCACCUCCACACCCCUCUAUCUUUUUCUUUUUUCUUUUUUUUUUUUUUUUAACGGUGAACCUCCAAUCUCAGAUUGCAGAUACAAAGUGAUAGGGUGAAGCUACUGAAAACACAGAAGAGGCCUUCUACUGAAGAAACAGCAUUGUGAGCUAGAAAAAGUAGAGAAUAUUUGGAACAAGUUUUAACAAGGAUGACAUGGUGAAUCCACAAAAGAUGGGAAGAACGAUCACCAGGGAAUCCUACCAGGAAAGGGAUUCUGGAAUCAUGGAACGUAUGCAGGAAGUUUACUAGGGAAAGCCCCUGAGGUCAACACCUGAGAGAGAGUAAAAGAAGCAGAACUGGGUAAAAGGGGAGGUUGAACUCCAAUGCAAUCUCAGCAAAGGCUUCAGCCCAUUCCAUGGGAGUUCUGGACUCAAUGGACCCUUUGGAGUUGUUCUGCACUGAGGACAGACAAGCAGGUCUUUAUACCCUCACAUCAACUUGUCAUUCCUAGUAAUCAGAAUUGAGCUCACAGAGAAGCCUGUAGAACUAAUACAUGAAUAUUUCAUCAUCACUGGUUUAUAGGAACCCAAAGGAAACUAUCUUAAAUGCAGCAAUUAUUUUAAUAAACAUUAUUAUUUGCAAGGCACUGUGAUGGGUACUCUGGGGGAACACAAAUUUAUUUAAAUCACAUGUUUGACAUCAUGUAACUUAAAUUUAAAGUAAAAUGAACUAUAGAGAAGUAAAUUGUCUGUAAAAUGGAUAUAAUAAUAUCUGUCUCAUAGGGUGGAUCCGAGGAUUUGAAAACCUGCCACAAAAUAAA